UGGGGGGGCGGGCAUGCUUACACAUGCAGUCGAACGGUAACAGGGAGCUUGCUCCGCUGACGAGUGGCGAACGGGUGAGUAAUGCGUCGGAACGUGCCGAGUAGUGGGGGAUAACGCAGCGAAAGUUGUGCUAAUACCGCAUACGUACUGAGGUAGAAAGUGGGGGACCUUCGGGCCUCACGCUAUUCGAGCGGCCGACGUCUGAUUAGCUAGUAGGUGAGGUAAGAGCUCACCUAGGCGACGAUCAGUAGCGGGUCUGAGAGGAUGAUCCGCCACACUGGGACUGAGACACGGCCCAGACUCCUACGGGAGGCAGCAGUGGGGAAUUUUGGACAAUGGGCGAAAGCCUGAUCCAGCCAUGCCGCGUGUCUGAAGAAGGCCUUCGGGUUGUAAAGGACUUUUGUCGGGGAGGAAAUCCCCAGCGCUAAUACCGCUGGGGGAUGACAGUACCUGAAGAAUAAGCACCGGCUAACUACGUGCCCCCCCCCCCCCGAUAUA
This 498-nucleotide ribosomal RNA is filed under the name Vogesella sp. RNAcentral's name for it is "partial 16S ribosomal RNA". It matches the Rfam family "Bacterial small subunit ribosomal RNA", at positions 38 to 525 of the family's 1533-position model. Lineage: Bacteria; Pseudomonadati; Pseudomonadota; Betaproteobacteria; Neisseriales; Chromobacteriaceae. The record is from RNAcentral.